RNAcentral lists this ribosomal RNA (970 nucleotides) under Sorex saussurei (Saussure's shrew). RNAcentral describes it as "partial 16S ribosomal RNA". It matches the Rfam family "Bacterial large subunit ribosomal RNA", at positions 891 to 2578 of the family's 2925-position model. The record is from RNAcentral. Lineage: Eukaryota; Metazoa; Chordata; Mammalia; Eulipotyphla; Soricidae.
AAAUUUAACCGUAAAUUUAAGUGCUACUCUAAAGGGGUACAGCCCUUUAGACUCAGGAUACAACCUUUAUUAGUGAGUAAACAACCGAAAUAACCAUAGUUGGCCUAAAAGCAGCCACCAAUUAAGAAAGCGUUCAAGCUCAACAAUAAGACGCUAUAUUAAUUCAAUAAUCACUUAUUAACUCCUAAUUUACCACUGGACUAAUCUAUUACCCAAUAGAAGAAAUACUGUUAAUAUGAGUAACAAGAUUUAUAUCUCCUAGCACAAGCUUAUGUCAGACCAAAUAAUAACUGAUAAUUAACAGCCAAAUAAAUAUAACCUUAUAUUAAAUAUUUAUUUACACACUGUCGACCCGACACAGGAGUGCAACUACAAGGAAAGAUUAAAAGAAGUAAAAGGAACUCGGCAAACACAAACCCCGCCUGUUUACCAAAAACAUCACCUCUAGCAUUUCCAGUAUUAGAGGCACUGCCUGCCCAGUGACAAUCGUUAAACGGCCGCGGUAUCCUGACCGUGCAAAGGUAGCAUAAUCAUUUGUUCUUUAAAUAAGGACUUGUAUGAAUGGCCACACGAGGGUUUAACUGUCUCUUACUUCCAAUCAGUGAAAUUGACCUUUCCGUGAAGAGGCGGAAAUUCACCAAUAAGACGAGAAGACCCUAUGGAGCUUUAAUUUACUUAGCUCAACAGAACAACACAUUACUCCACCAAGGAACAACAAACAUUCUAACUGAGCUAAAAAUUUUGGUUGGGGUGACCUCGGGGCAUAAAACAACCCCCGAGAAUUAACUACUAAGACUAACAAGUCAAAGUGCUAUUUUACCAAUUGAUCCAGUCCCACUGAUCAACGGAACAAGUUACCCUAGGGAUAACAGCGCAAUCCUAUUCUAGAGUCCUUAUCGACAAUAGGGUUUACGACCUCGAUGUUGGAUCAGGACAUCCUAAUGGUGCAGCAGCUAUUAAUGGUUCGUUU